This is a long non-coding RNA of Topomyia yanbarensis, 196 nucleotides long. RefSeq lists it as uncharacterized. The record is from RefSeq and is a predicted model, not a curated record. The transcript is spliced from 3 exons. NCBI's taxonomy places the organism in Eukaryota, Metazoa, Arthropoda, Insecta, Diptera, Culicidae.
UAAAAUUAAAACGAGGUGGAUUGAUCUGCAUGUGCCAUAGGAAAAAGUUUAAUUAAAACUAAUUUAAUCAUUUCGGAUUAUUAUAUUGGAUUAUCGAGUCGUGAAGGAUACUUGGGAAAUAUAUUGUUCGGAUCGGACAUUGGAAAGGAAGAAAAUUAUUAAAUGUAGGAGAGUUUUGAGCUGUGCGUAAAACGUC